RNAcentral lists this ribosomal RNA (464 nucleotides) under uncultured bacterium. RNAcentral describes it as "SSU rRNA". It matches the Rfam family "Bacterial small subunit ribosomal RNA", at positions 26 to 518 of the family's 1533-position model. The record is from RNAcentral.
AGGACGAACGCUGGCGGCGUGCUUAACACAUGCAAGUCGAGCGGAAAGGCCCUUCGGGGUACUCGAGCGGCGAACGGGUGAGUAACACGUGAGCAACCUGCCCUUAGCUUCGGGAUAGCUCCGGGAAACCGGAAUUAAUACCGAAUAUGACUGCGGCUGACAUCAGCCACGGUGGAAAGUUUUUCGCUUCGGGAGGGGCUCGCGGUCCAUCAGCUUGUUGGCGGGGUAACGGCCCACCAAGGCUACGACGGAUAGCUGGUCUGAGAGGACGAUCAGCCACACUGGAACUGAGACACGGUCCAGACUCCUACGGGAGGCAGCAGUUGGGAAUCUUGGACAAUGGGGGAAACCCUGAUCCAGCCAUGCCGCGUGAGUGAUGAAGCCUUCGGUUGUAAACUCUUCGACGGGACGAUAAUGACGGUACCCGUAGAAGAAGCUCCGGCUAACUUCGUGCCAGCAGCCGC